GGCCCCGUAGUUGAGUCCUACAACGUUAGAUUGCAAAUCUAAAAACGCAUACUUCUGCCGGGGCUU
Molecule: transfer RNA, 66 nt
Filed under: Orbinia latreillii
Lineage: Eukaryota; Metazoa; Annelida; Polychaeta; Orbiniidae
Description: tRNA-Cys
Rfam family: tRNA
About the family: Transfer RNA (tRNA) molecules are approximately 80 nucleotides in length.
Source: RNAcentral